Molecule: ribosomal RNA, 483 nt
Filed under: uncultured bacterium
Lineage: Bacteria
Description: partial 16S ribosomal RNA
Rfam family: Bacterial small subunit ribosomal RNA
Source: RNAcentral
GAUGAACGCUGGCGGCGUGCUUAACACAUGCAAGUCGAACGGUGAAGCCCAGCUUGCUGGGUGGAUCAGUGGCGAACGGGUGAGUAACACGUGGGCAACCUGCCCUGGACUCUGGGAUAAGCGCUGGAAACGGCGUCUAAUACUGGAUAUGAGACGUGGCCGCAUGGUCAACGUUUGGAAAGAUUUUUCGGUCUGGGAUGGGCUCGCGGCCUAUCAGCUUGUUGGUGAGGUAAUGGCUCACUAAGGCGUCGACGGGUAGCCGGCCUGAGAGGGUGACCGGCCACACUGGGACUGAGACACGGCCCAGACUCCUACGGGAGGCAGCAGUGGGGAAUAUUGCACAAUGGGCGGAAGCCUGAUGCAGCAACGCCGCGUGAGGGAUGACGGCCUUCGGGUUGUAAACCUCUUUUAGCAAGGAAGAAGCUUUUGUGACGGUACUUGCAGAAAAAGCGCCGGCUAACUACGUGCCAGCCGCCGCAGUAA